GAUGAAGAACGUAGCGAAAUGCGAUAAGUAAUGUGAAUUGCAGAAUUCAGUGAAUCAUCGAAUCUUUGAACGCACCUUGCGCUCCUUGGUAUUCCGAGGAGCAUGCCUGUUUGAGUGUCAUGAAAUUCUCAACCCUUUCAGCUUUCUUUGUUGAUCAGGCUUGGAUGUGGGAGUAUGCGGGCUUCUCAGAAGUCGGCUCUCCUGAAAUGCAUUAGCGGGACCUUUGUUGCCUGGCUUUGGUGUGAUAAUUAUCUACGCCAUUGUAGUCAAGCAGCUUAAAAUGAGGUUUCAGCUUCUAACCGUCUCCCCUGAGACAACUUUUUGACAAUUUGACCUCAAAUCAGGUAGGACUACCCGCUGAACUUAAGCAUAUCAAUAAGCGGAGGA
This 387-nucleotide unclassified non-coding RNA is filed under the name soil metagenome. RNAcentral's name for it is "partial contains 5.8S ribosomal RNA, internal transcribed spacer 2, and large subunit ribosomal RNA". The stretch from base 1 to 120 matches the Rfam family "5.8S ribosomal RNA", at positions 35 to 154 of the family's 154-position model. The record is from RNAcentral.